Brassica oleracea var. oleracea is the source of this 1050-nucleotide long non-coding RNA. RefSeq lists it as uncharacterized. Lineage: Eukaryota; Viridiplantae; Streptophyta; Magnoliopsida; Brassicales; Brassicaceae. The record is from RefSeq and is a predicted model, not a curated record. The transcript is spliced from 3 exons.
AGUUGAGACAUUUUUCUCAUCUCUUCACAUCUUGAUAAUGUUUUCCUCUUGCCUCCUUUAAAAACUUCAAAAGAAGGCAAUUUUCUUUUCUAAUUAAUAAUUUUUUGAUUAUAGCUAGGGUUGAUGUAAGGUUUGCGUAUCUACAUGGAUCUAUUUCUGUGCUGGUUUUGAGAGGCUGAAGCUGCCAGCAUGAUCUGAUCAUCCUGCGGCUUCAUUCACUCAAUCACCAACAAUGGCAAAACGAUGAACUUAAAUUUCAUGAGAAAAGCGAUUCCCGUUUGACUUUUGCGACUAGCCUCUAUCAUCACUCGAGUUUCAGAUUGGGUUCUUCGAGUAUAGGAAAUCAUGUAACGUUCGGAUAUCUAUAUCAGAUCGGGUUCAGUUUGGUGUCUUAAAAUUUGGUGUCUUCGGAUCCAGAUAAUUUACUCAGGUGUACUUAGAUUUUUAAUUAAUUUUAAUAUAAUAUAUUGACAAAAGGUGUAGUUUAUUGACAAGACACAUAAUUAUCAUAUUAAUAAUAGUUCAUCAAACUAUAGAAUUAGCCUAUCACCUUUACAUGCUGAAUGUGAAGCCUUUAUUUUGCAAAUGAAAUGCAUGAAGAUCCUAUAUUUUAUGGAAAUGAAGUUUGCAACGGACUAAGCUCAAUUGGUGAAGAUGGUGUCUGCACCGACAGAAUGGCUAGCUUUCGCACCCCUUCGAGGAAGUACAACGAUGUAAGACGCUCUUUCCACAUUUCUCACUCCAGCAUAUUUCUAGAGCAAAAAAAUAUUAUGGCAGAUAAACUUGCAUGAGGUGCAAGAACCUCUCGUUCAGCUAUGUACUAUGUUGGCACUUUGACUUCAACUUGGGAGAAUAUUUUUAUUAAAUCGUGAAAGUCUUUUCAUAUAGUAGUUCUUAAAAAUAAUUUAUAAAUUUACAAAAAAUAUUUUUAUGAGAGAAAAUAUUUAAUCUUAUUAGAAUUUUGGUCUCCCUAUAUAAAGAAAAUGUACACAUUUUCUCACACUCUCUCAAAUGGCUACAACAAAAAUGUAAUGUUACUCAUUCUAAAAC